AGCGAACGCUGGCGGCAGGCCUAACACAUGCAAGUCGAACGAACUCUUCGGAGUUAGUGGCGGACGGGUGAGUAACACGUGGGAACGUGCCUUUUGGUUCGGAAUAACUCAGGGAAACUUGUGCUAAUACCGAAUGUGCCCUUCGGGGGAAAGAUUUAUCGCCAUUAGAGCGGCCCGCGUCUGAUUAGCUAGUUGGUGAGGUAACGGCUCACAAAGGCGAGGAUCAGUAGCUGGUCUGAGAGGAUGACCAGCCACAGUGGGACUGAGACAAGGCACAGACGACGAAGGGAGGCAGCAGGGGGGAAGAGUGAACAAUGGGAGGAAGCAUGAUGAAGAAAAGCCGCGUGCGGGAAGAAGGCAUUGGGGUUGUAAAAAGAGUGCGCCUGGGACGAAGCGUGAGUGACGGUAAUGGGUAAAGAAGCACCGGCUAACUACGU
RNAcentral lists this ribosomal RNA (437 nucleotides) under uncultured bacterium. RNAcentral's name for it is "partial 16S ribosomal RNA". It matches the Rfam family "Bacterial small subunit ribosomal RNA", at positions 30 to 506 of the family's 1533-position model. The record is from RNAcentral.